CAGACCGGUAGCAGUUGCGGCUGCGGCUGCGCGCCCGGCAUAGCGCGGACGCUUGUGCGCCGAGCCGACCUGGUUCAGCACCCACUCGAGAUACGGCUCGAUGAAGUGCCAGCCGCCCAUGUUGCGCGGCUCUUCCUGGCACCAGACCACUUCGGCAUUCUUGAAGCGCUCAAGCACCUGCACCAGCGCCUUGAGCGGCACGGGAUAG
RNAcentral lists this unclassified non-coding RNA (208 nucleotides) under Hevea brasiliensis (rubber tree). The record is from RNAcentral. Lineage: Eukaryota; Viridiplantae; Streptophyta; Magnoliopsida; Malpighiales; Euphorbiaceae.